UGCUGAGUUGCUGAGGUCUGUUACGCGAAAUGUGCAAACUCUGCGGAUCCCUAAGUGUGCCGGUGUCGGUUGGCAUCGGUCGCUGUGAUGUUCAGGCUGAAGAAAGCUUAUGAAGCUCCUGAACGAUGGACCAGGAGGAAGAGAACAUGCCAGUCGGGCAUGUGUCUCUGCCAGGGUCCUACUCGAGUGUAGGCUGAACUCCUCCCCCAAGCUGUCAAAAGGAAGAGGGAAGGGAGGAAGGCUGCUGGCAAAGCGGUUCAAAUGCCUGAAAAGAGAGACUGAAGAAGCUUGGUGAUAAUGAAAACGGAAUGAAAAGAGAAACUUGCAAAGGGGCAGCGACUGCCCCAACUUGAAAGACGCCUGAUUCAAGAGUAAGUGGAAUGUACAAAAUGGGAGGAUUUGUGUUUACAGCAUUGCUUGAUCGGUGCCUUAAGGACAGAAAUGACACCAUCCUUCUACCUGGCGCUGACACAGAUUGCUGGAAGGAAAGCGUUCUUAUAAACAAAGUGCUGGAGGCCAUCUUGUCUUCCUCUUCCUGCUCCAGAGCUGGCAACCCAAGUACAUCUUCAUGUAGCUUAAUGGCUUCCUAGAACAACUAGGAGUUCAAAAGAAGCUAAAACAGCUGCACUUAUGAGCGACUACAAGGAGCAAUAGGGAAGCCUGUUUAGUAUGCACAUCAUUCCUGAAUCUAUAAGAAUCUAUGAAUAGCCUGGGCCUUUUCCCCCUUUACACUAGUGUAUAGCAGACUUAAGCAGCAAACGCGAGAAGAUUCAACAUCAGUGAAGAGAGAUCUGUAGCUGUCAGGGAAGAACCUGACAGGUAUUUAGAACAAGUUGGCUAAGGGGAUGAGGGCAGCAGGGGCUGGGGGGGUUGGACACACGUGGCUGAUUAAAAAAUAUAUGUAUAUAAAUACGGCUUCAAUUGUACGCAAACCACAAUUUGCUCUGAAUGUAAGGCUCAGUGUUGUUUGUUUUUGUUUGUUUAUUCAUGCAAGUAUUUUUGUGCUGCCAUACCAUGAAAUUUCAGGGUGCCCUACAAUGCCGACGCCAUCAUUAAAGAGAUGGUGAUCUAUCCAUUGACCACAGUAUAAAAUGAUUCUGUGCCAAAACUGGAAAAAUCUUAACUCUCUUGUCUGUUUAUAGACAGUUGGUUAAAGGAAAUUUGGUCCAACUAACUGAUUUGAUCAGAAACAGAGAGGGAAGACAAUGCGAAUUUGUGGAGAAGUUGAGCAUGUUCAUUUGAUGCUAGAAUAGCAAAGUUCAGGGCUCAAUAAACCCUCAGCUGCUCAUUAGGAGACAUUUGAGCAUAUGGAACAGAAUGGGGGACAGCAUCAAUUGGUUUAUUGCUAUAUGUUACUUAUUAAUUUGCCU
Podarcis raffonei (Aeolian wall lizard) is the source of this 1370-nucleotide long non-coding RNA. RefSeq lists it as uncharacterized. The transcript is spliced from 3 exons. The record is from RefSeq and is a predicted model, not a curated record. Lineage: Eukaryota; Metazoa; Chordata; Lepidosauria; Squamata; Lacertidae.